Molecule: ribosomal RNA, 424 nt
Filed under: uncultured prokaryote
Description: bacterial SSU rRNA
Rfam family: Bacterial small subunit ribosomal RNA
Source: RNAcentral
UGGGGAAUAUUGGACAAUGGGCGCAAGCCUGAUCCAGCCAUGCCGCGUGAGUGAAGAAGGCCCUAGGGUUGUAAAGCUCUUUCACCCGCGAAGAUGAUGACGGUAGCGGGAGAAGAAGCCCCGGCUAACUCCGUGCCAGCAGCCGCGGUAAUACGGAGGGGGCAAGCGUUGUUCGGAAUUACUGGGCGUAAAGCGCGCGUAGGCGGUUUUUCAAGUCAGGGGUGAAAUCCCGGAGCUCAACUCCGGAACUGCCCUUGAAACUGGAUGACUAGAAUCCUGGAGAGGCGAGUGGAAUUCCGAGUGUAGAGGUGAAAUUCGUAGAUAUUCGGAAGAACACCAGUGGCGAAGGCGACUCGCUGGACAGGUAUUGACGCUGAGGUGCGAAAGCGUGGGGAGCAAACAGGAUUAGAUACCCCCGUAGUCC